UACGAAGGGGGCUAGCGUUGUUCGGAAUUACUGGGCGUAAAGCGUGCGCAGGCGGCUUCUCAAGUCAGGGGUGAAAGACGGUAGCUUAACUAUCGCAGUGCCUUUGAUACUGAUGGGCUUGAAUGUAGUUGAGGUAGGCGGAAUGUGACAAGUAGCGGUGAAAUGCAUAGAUAUGUCACAGAACACCAAUUGCGAAGGCAGCUUACUAAAGUAUGAUUGACGCUGAGGCACGAAAGCGUGGGGAUCAAACAGG
RNAcentral lists this ribosomal RNA (253 nucleotides) under uncultured bacterium. Its description in RNAcentral is "partial 16S ribosomal RNA". It matches the Rfam family "Bacterial small subunit ribosomal RNA", at positions 524 to 776 of the family's 1533-position model. The record is from RNAcentral.